GCUGUUUGCUCGGGGUCCCCUGUGCCUCGCUAUACUGUCGUGUCUUUUUCUCAGUUCCUUCACUGCCCCAGGUCCCCAACUCUCAGAGGAAGAAGAGGAUGUCUAAAUCUUCAGAAAUUCUUAUCAGUGGAGAAGAGAGACACAGUGAGAGAAGGAACACAAGCAGGGAGAGUGGGAGAGGAAGAAUCAGGCUUCCCGCCGAGCAAGGAGCCCGAUGUGGGGCUCGACCCCAGGACCCUGGGAUCAUGACCUGAGCCGAAGGCAGACGCUUAACGACUGAGCCACACAGGCGCCUGAUGGAAUUCCAAAAGAGCAAGCGAGAUCUCCAGUUUUUCCUGAGAUGUAGAAUCCUCAAGAACCACAUUGGGAUGUUCACAUGGGAUACUGAAUAGCACACUUUCAGCAACAUAAUAUACUGCUGGUUUGAAUGGGAGUGAAUUUCCUGUCAAGCUUUGGUUAUAACAAUACUCUUCUGAAAAGUGCACUAAAAUUUAAAGUGUAAAAAAAUGUAUUACAAAAAGAGAAAAUAAAAUAAAUGAAAGUGUGGGUUUUUACCAGCUCCGAUCAUGAAAGAAUAAAGUACUUGUAUUUACCAAAAAAAAUCAUGUAUUCAAAUGUAUAUUAGCAUAUUAUGGUUACCUAUAAAAGCUAAACUGGAAACAGAAGAGACUAGGAAAAGGCUUAUUAGAAUAACUUAAUUAACAUGAUAUAACAGAGCUUGGAAAAAUUCUAUAUUAGGAGACUUUUUUUUUUUUUUAAGAUUUUAUUUUUAAGCAAUCUCUACACCUAAAGUUGGGCUUGAACUCACAAUCCCAAGAACAAGAGUUACACACUCUACUGACUGAGCCAGCCAGGUGCCCCUGUAUUAGGAGACUUUAAAAAAUAGAAAUAAACAUAUAAAUCUUAUACAAUGAUGUUUCUGUAAUAUGUUUUUUAAGAAAAACAGAAACAAAGACAACUCAUGAAGUAAGAAUAGGAAGAAGUAUGAUUUCUUUUCAUCACUGCAAAGAAUUUGGAAAAUUAUAUUGUCAAAUUAAACUAUCAUACUGAGAACUAGACUGAACUGUCAGCUUCAGAACAUGUUAAUUUUCU
Mirounga angustirostris (Northern elephant seal) is the source of this 1092-nucleotide long non-coding RNA. RefSeq lists it as uncharacterized. The transcript is spliced from 4 exons. NCBI's taxonomy places the organism in Eukaryota, Metazoa, Chordata, Mammalia, Carnivora, Phocidae. The record is from RefSeq and is a predicted model, not a curated record.